UACAGAGGGUGCGAGCGUUAAUCGGAUUUACUGGGCGUAAAGGGUGCGUAGGUGGUUAUAUAAGUUGGAUGUGAAAUCCCUGGGCUUAACCUAGGGGCUGCAUACAAUACUGUAUGGCUAGAGUUUUGUAGAGGAAGGUGGAAUUUCCGGUGUAGCGGUGAAAUGCGUAGAUAUCGGAAGGAACAUCAGUGGCGAAGGCGGCCUUCUGGACAAAUACUGACACUGAGGCACGAAAGCAUGGGGAGCAAACAGG
This 253-nucleotide ribosomal RNA is filed under the name uncultured bacterium. RNAcentral's name for it is "partial 16S ribosomal RNA". It matches the Rfam family "Bacterial small subunit ribosomal RNA", at positions 524 to 776 of the family's 1533-position model. The record is from RNAcentral.